RNAcentral lists this ribosomal RNA (297 nucleotides) under uncultured bacterium. RNAcentral's name for it is "partial 16S ribosomal RNA". It matches the Rfam family "Bacterial small subunit ribosomal RNA", at positions 337 to 651 of the family's 1533-position model. The record is from RNAcentral.
UCCUACGGGGCGCAGCAGUGGGGAAUAUUGCACAAUGGGGGGAACCCUGAUGCAGCGACGCCGCGUGGGUGAAGGAGUACUUCGGUACGUAAAGCCCUAUCAGCAGGAAAGAAAAUGACGGUACCUGACUAAGAAGCCCCGGCUAACUACGUGCCAGCAGCCGCGGUAAUACGUAGGGGGCAAGCGUUAUCCGGAUUUACUGGGUGUAAAGGGAGCGUAGACGGCUGUGCAAGUCUGAAGUGAAAGCCCAGGGCUCAACCCUGGGACUGCUUUGGAAACUGUGGAGCUAGAGUGCUG